UGAAGAGAGAGCUUGAUCCUGGCUCAGGAUAAACGUUGGCGGUGCGCCUUAUGCAUGCAAGUCGUACGGGGCUAUAGUUUUCGGAUUGUAGCCUAGUGGCGGACGGCUGAGUAACGCGUAGGCAACUUGCCUGCAAGUGGGGGACAACCUGUCGAGAGGCAGGCUAAUACCGCAUGAGAUGAACGAGUGAUGCUUGUUUAUCAAAGCCGCGAGGCGCUUGCAGAGAGGCCUGCGUCUGAUUAGCUAGUUGGCAGGGUAAAGGCCUACCAAGGCGAUGAUCAGUAGCUGGUCUGAGAGGAUGAUCAGCCAGAUGGGGACUGAGACACGGCCCCAACUCCUACGGGAGGCAGCAGCAAGGGAUAUUGGGCAAUGGGCGAAAGCCUGAC
RNAcentral lists this ribosomal RNA (386 nucleotides) under Chloroflexota bacterium. RNAcentral describes it as "bacterial SSU rRNA". It matches the Rfam family "Bacterial small subunit ribosomal RNA", at positions 1 to 387 of the family's 1533-position model. Lineage: Bacteria; Bacillati; Chloroflexota. The record is from RNAcentral.